AACGAACGCUGGCGGCAGGCCUAACACAUGCAAGUCGAACGCCCCGCAAGGGGAGUGGCAGACGGGUGAGUAACGCGUGGGAACGUGCCUUUCGGUUCGGAAUAGGCCGGGGAAACCCGGGUUAAUACCGGAUACGUCCUUCGGGAGAAAGAUUUAUCGCCGAGAGAUCGGCCCGCGUCUGAUUAGCUAGUUGGCGGGGUAAUGGUCCACCAAGGCGACGAUCAGUAGCUGGUCUGAGAGGAUGAUCAGCCACACUGGGACUGAGACACGGCCCAGACUCCUACGGGAGGCAGCAGUGGGGAAUAUUGGACAAUGGGCGCAAGCCUGAUCCAGCCAUGCCGCGUGAGUGAUGAAGGCCCUAGGGUUGUAAAGCUCUUUCGGCGGGGACGAUAAUGACGGUACCCGCAGAAGAAGCCCCGGCUAACUUCGUGCCAGCAGCCGCAGUAA
This 447-nucleotide ribosomal RNA is filed under the name uncultured bacterium. RNAcentral describes it as "partial 16S ribosomal RNA". It matches the Rfam family "Bacterial small subunit ribosomal RNA", at positions 29 to 523 of the family's 1533-position model. The record is from RNAcentral.